CCUACGGGUGGCAGCAGUGGGGAAUAUUGCACAAUGGGGGAAACCCUGAUGCAGCAACGCCGCGUGAGUGAGGAAGUAUUUCGGUAUGUAAAGCUCUAUCAGCAGGGAAUAGAAAGGAAGGUACCUGAAAAAGAAGCCACGGCUAACUACGUGCCAGCAGCCGCGGUAAUACGUAGGGGGCAAGCGUUAUCCGGAUUUACUGGGCGUAAAGGGAGCGUAGACGGAAAGACAAGUCAGAUGUGAAAAACAAAGGCUUAACCAUGGGACUGCAUAUGAAACUGUCUAACUAGAGUACGGGAGAGGUAAGAGGAAUUCCUAGUGUAGCGGUGAAAUGCGUAGAGAUUAGGAGGAACACCAGUGGCGAAGGCGACUUACUGGACCGAAACUGACGUUGAGGCUCGAAAGCGUGGGGAGCAAACAGGAUUAGAUACCCUAGUAGUC
Molecule: ribosomal RNA, 441 nt
Filed under: uncultured bacterium
Lineage: Bacteria
Description: partial 16S ribosomal RNA
Rfam family: Bacterial small subunit ribosomal RNA
Source: RNAcentral